Long non-coding RNA from Saccostrea echinata, 4242 nucleotides. RefSeq lists it as uncharacterized. The transcript is spliced from 3 exons. The record is from RefSeq and is a predicted model, not a curated record. Lineage: Eukaryota; Metazoa; Mollusca; Bivalvia; Ostreida; Ostreidae.
ACUACCAGCAGCUUAUCCUUAAGACUACUGAAAUGAUAAUACUAAGCAGGAACUUCACGAGGACAACAACCAGGGAGAUAUCAGGAAGGCCAAGAAUCAACACACGAAAGUCAUUAGAAACACAUUAGAAUAUUAUGAUGGCCACCAGGGAAGGAUUUCAGAUGAAAAAUCAAGAAAAAAAGCACUCAAAGAACAGCCAAAAACAACUACAAGUACAACAUAUGGGUUAAGAUACUUUCAACACAAAUGCAGGGGAAAACAUCAUCAGGACAAUAAUCAGGCUAAUAUCAGAAAGGCCAACAACCAGAGGAUGGACAUCAGAGGAAACUCAAGAAGAAAAGAACAACGUCAGAACAACUGUAUACAGUAUGGGAAGAACACAAUUGGUACAACUACUAGAUAAUAUAUCAUCAGGCCAAUGACUAGGAUAAAGAUAAUCAGGACAAGUGAAGGAAAGGACAUCACCAUGAAAACUGCACAGCCAAAACUUAAGAAGGUCAAUAUUUGGUGAGAUGUGAAAAAGGACAAACAUAGGAUUGAGAACAUUUGGACUCAAGAAGGAAUAGACAUCAGGAGGACUACCAGUGAAGGAUGUAACAGGAACAACUACCUAAGAAAAUUAUAAUUAGGACAACCAAAAAAUCAUUACAUGAGAUACUACGAGGAAAGGACAUCAUGGGACAUCAGCAAUGACAUCAUCAUGACACUUCUUAGGAGACAUCAUUGAUACAGCUACAAACACAUAUUCAAGACAACUACCAGCAGCUUAUCUUUAGGAUGACUACGAUGACAAAUACUUAGCCAGGACAUCUAAAAAAUAUACAACCAGAGAGAUAUUAGGUAGGAAAAGAACCAGGGGAAGAACAAGAGACAUUGUAAUGGUUACUAGAAAAGGAUAUCACAAAAACAAACAAGGAAGAGCAUUAAAGGGACAGCCAAGAUAACACUACAAGGACAACAGCUAAGGAGCGAUGCCAUCAACACAGCUGUCAGGAGAUUAUGUCAUCAGGACAAAGACAAGGGAUGUAUUAAAACAAUUAAAAACUCAUCUUCAGUGAGUGAUACCUACAAGACUAAUUGAUUCUUUGUAGUUUUACGUCCCUUGCAAGAUUAUUUCACUCUAGACGUCACCGCAUGCCACUGAAGGGCUUCAAAUUUAGACCUUUACUCUGCACUUGCUGCCAUAAAGUAAUGAGUGUUCUAUAGUGUGCAAACGCCUGCUGUGAUACAGUGCCUCGGUUUAAUGCCUCAUUCAAAAGACCGACAGAUUUCACUUCAAAGGGCCGAGCGCUUAGUGAAGGAACAGUUGCUACUUAUUUUAGGAUACCAUGAUGAGGAUCAUCUGUUAGGGAUACAAGAAGAAUACCUACAAGGGGACAUCAUUAGAACUGAAGGAAGGAUAUCUUUAGGAAAGCUGAAAGUAAGGACUGUGGAAGGACCCGAGUAGGAAUGGACAUCUAGGAGGACCAGCAGGAAAGGAUAUUUCAAGAACAACUACAGGAUGGACAGGUAAAAAAGAAAAGAGACAUCAGGCCCCGGAGCUAUUUAACUAAGAUGAGCUCACUUCUGAUCUCGGUCACUUCUACCAAAGGAAUAUAUACAUGUAGUGGAAAAGUGAGACUGAGAUCAAAAGUGAGCUCAUCUAAGUUUUAUGGCCCCGGGGCCAGGAAAAAGCAACAAAGAGGGGCGAACAUCAUGAGGAACUUAAUAAAGAAAGGAUACCAUGAGAAGGUCAUCUGAGGAUAUAAAAUAGCAUUAUAAGGACAACAAAGGAAAUCACUACAAGGACAACAGUAAUGCAAACAGUACUGCAUUAUGGAAAGGAUAUUAUCAAGGCAACCUCCGGGAAGGCAUCACUAAAACAACUACAAACUCUUUGUCAGUGAAGGAUAUCUACAGAAUAUUUAUAUUAUAAAGUACAUCACAUAGACAACAAGAAGGAUACCUUAAAAGGAAAGGAUACCAUGAGAAAGAUAAUCAUGAAGGAUAUGAAAUAUCUAACGAAGAAGGGCAUCAUAAGGACAAAGGUCAUCUUCAUGACAACUACCAAAAAUAGGAAAGACAACAACUAGGCAUGAUGAAAUCAAUCCGGAAUGGAUAUCAAAACAACCAAUAAGAACAGCCAUUGAAUCACUAUGAUGCCAACAGUAAGGAAAAAUACUCGGAUAAGAUCAUCCGAACAGUGGCAAGGGGACUUUAUAAGGACAAUUGAAGCAAAGGACAUCACUAACUGCUAAGCAAGGACUUGGAAGGACACCACCUAGGAAGAUGCCAGGGAGGACCACCACAGGAUGGACAUCAUUUGGCUGCGAGUAGGAAUAGACAUUAGGAGAACCAUAAAGGAAGGAUAUUAAAAGAACAUCUAUUGAGGACCGAUAAAAUCAGGAAGCCCAGAGAUUUAAUUCGAGGACCACAACAAGGAUAAGGCACAUCAGUACUACAAUUAGGAGCUAGCAUCAUUGGGACAUUGAGAGGGAGACUUCAUAUAAACAUUUACAUGCUACAACCAGGAAAACUACUAGCAGCUCAGAUAACUACUUGCCAAGGACAUCAAGAGGACAAAAUCUAGGGAGGUCAGGAAGAGCAAUAACUAGGGGAUGAACAUCAUCAGGAUGGACAUCAGGGAAACAUAACACAGAGAACUUCGAAAGAAGAAAAUUACAGGGACAACCAGGGAAUCUAAAGGGACAACAGUGAGGUAAAGAUGCCAUCAAUGCGACAUUCAAGAGAGAAUAUCAUCGAGACAACCAUCAGGGAGACAUCAUUAAAACAACAACAAACUCAUCUUCAGUGAAGGAUAUUUACAGGGUAACAAAAUCCAUUAUGUGAACAACAACCAAGGAGACAUAAAAAACAUCAACCAGGGUGAACGUUAUGACGAAUUCGAGUAGGAAAGGAUACUAUCAAGAGGACAACAAUGAAGGAUUUAGGAUUUAGAUUCUACCAUAGAAAAGGCAAGCAAAAAGUCAUUUAAAAGCAAAAAUGGACAUCAUGAGAAACAUCACGAGAAAGUCAAGUAGGAAUCAAGACAACCAAAUGGAAAGGAUAUCAAAAAAACACCAAGAAAAAAUGGCUUCGGUGGGAACACAUCAUACAAAAAAGCAACCAUGGAUGGACAUUCAUUAGGAAUCAUAUAACAAGUGUAUCGCCACUCAGGGGAAGGAAUUCAUCAUGACAACAACAACGAACCAAUGAACGACCAUAUCAGAACAGUGAAUGAUCAAGACAAAAACAAGAUUCUUGUAAAAGGAGAUCAAAUUUCAGGACAGAAAGGUGUGUCAGAAAUCUGCAUGGGAGACAUCAGCAUAAUUUCCAGAUUUCCAUCAGCAUAACCAUGGGGAAGAGCAUUGUCAGGAUGAUACUAAUUAAAGGCAAUAACCAGGAAAUGAUAUCAUGAAGUUAGGACAUCAGCUGGACAGCUAGAGUAAUGGGAUAUUAACUUCAGAAUAUUAAUCAAUAAAGGACUUUUUCUCACAGCUGAGAAAAUUAAUGAGACAUAAUUUAAAAAAAAAAUAACCAGACAGCCAUCAUAAGGAAAAAAUUUAGAAAGAUAUGUGUGCAGCAAACCUAAAGGAGGAAAAAAACAGGCCGGAGAAGGGAAGGACAUCAUGAGAACAACUCUCAGGGAGUUGCCAUGAGGACAAUAAUUAUCACCAGGAAACCACAUCAAAAGGACUGCAAACAGGAAAAGAUAUCACCUGAAUAACUUUUGGUAAACAAGCACAAAUACAAAGGCCCAUAAGGCUACUGUCAAAGAAGAUCGUCAUGACGACUAUAACAGGCACUUCAUUAGGGUAAUAACAAAGAAAAGAAGUCAACAUGGCACUUAGAGGACAUCAUAUGGAUAACUACCAGGGAGCAUUAAUGCAAAUUAUCAAUUUCUCUCGAGAUGUCAUCUGGACAGUAAACUGUUCAUCACCAUGAAAUACAUCAUCUGGAUAGCCACAAGAGGGUAGGACAACCAUCAUAAACAAAUCCUGUAAACAGACAAAAAAAAAACAUUGUCUGGGUAAAUAUGAACCAGUCACAGCCAGAAUAAUUAUCAGAGACAUUUUAUCAGCAUAGCAAGAAGAUUGUUUACAGUUACGUAACAUUGGUCGAGCUAUAAUGGAAGAAGAGUUUUCUAAUGGUCAUCUGUUUGAUAUUUUUUACAAGUGACUGUGGAAUGUUAAUCUGAAGUACGACCAACAAGAAUGUUUUUGUCAGAUGUUUUAUUGAUAAAAUAAAAGGUUUAGUUUAAAA